RNAcentral lists this small nucleolar RNA (69 nucleotides) under Otolemur garnettii (small-eared galago). Its description in RNAcentral is "Small nucleolar RNA U109 (ENSOGAG00000023658.1)". The record is from RNAcentral. Lineage: Eukaryota; Metazoa; Chordata; Mammalia; Primates; Galagidae.
GUACAUGCAGAGAUGUCUGCUCUUCAUUCCUUUAGGAGCAGGUGUACAUCUUUAACAUGUUGUACUUAU